RNAcentral lists this transfer RNA (96 nucleotides) under Fervidicoccus fontis. RNAcentral's name for it is "tRNA-Thr". It matches the Rfam family "tRNA". Rfam says of the family: Transfer RNA (tRNA) molecules are approximately 80 nucleotides in length. Their secondary structure includes four short double-helical elements and three loops (D, anti-codon, and T loops). Lineage: Archaea; Thermoproteati; Thermoproteota; Thermoprotei; Fervidicoccales; Fervidicoccaceae. The record is from RNAcentral.
GCCGCCGUAGCUCAGCCGGUAGUCCCUGCGCGGGGAACCGAAAGCGCCGGCCUUGUAAGCCGGUGGUCGCGGGUUCGAAUCCCGCCGGCGGCUCCA